UACGAAGGGGGCUAGCGUUGUUCGGAAUUACUGGGCGUAAAGCGCGCGUAGGCGGCUUUGUAAGUUAGAGGUGAAAGCCCGGAGCUCAACUCCGGAACUGCCUUUAAAACUGCAUCGCUUGAAUCCAGGAGAGGUGAGUGGAAUUCCGAGUGUAGAGGUGAAAUUCGUAGAUAUUCGGAAGAACACCAGUGGCGAAGGCGGCUCACUGGACUGGUAUUGACGCUGAGGUGCGAAAGCGUGGGGAGCUAACAGG
This 253-nucleotide ribosomal RNA is filed under the name uncultured bacterium. RNAcentral describes it as "partial 16S ribosomal RNA". It matches the Rfam family "Bacterial small subunit ribosomal RNA", at positions 524 to 776 of the family's 1533-position model. The record is from RNAcentral.